This 1378-nucleotide long non-coding RNA is filed under the name Triticum aestivum (bread wheat). Its description in RNAcentral is "long non-coding RNA (TAES_LNC013604)". The record is from RNAcentral. Lineage: Eukaryota; Viridiplantae; Streptophyta; Magnoliopsida; Poales; Poaceae.
AGGGUGAGAGUAGGUGUUGCUGUCCCAGGAAGGACGCCAUGUCCUAACCGGACUACUGCUCUGGAGAAGGCUAUCCAUGGUUUUGCCGACAAUCUUGGGGACAAUGUCAUAGUGCCAACUUUGGGUACAAUCUUUGAUUCUCUAGGUGAAGCAUACAACUUCUACAACCUAUAUUUGUGGAGAAAGGAUUUGGCAUUAGAUACGGCAAAAGUAGGCUAAAUGUUGAGAGGACAAAAUGCAUGCAGGAAAUUCUUUGCGGCUGUGCAGCAUGGGAAUAAGGAUUUGACACUUGUUAGUAUUUCAAAUAAUUUUGUGUAGGAGCUGUAGCUGAAAUGUUCCAUCUUUUUCGUGUUUUUUUGUAGGGAAAGGCGGGGUUUGAGAACACUAUGUCGUGUCGUUGCGAUUGCCUUGCUCUCAUCAGGUUGUUGCUGUCCAAAGACAAUGGUUAGUACAUAGCAAAAGACCGUGAGGAGCACUACGGAAGCUGAUCCAUGGCACAGGAGGUUCGCUUUCAGGUUUGUGUAGAUGGAGAGAAUUAAUUUCGGUUAGGUUGAUACUUCGAGGAGCUAUUAUUCGUUUUUGGUCAAAAGGGUCGAAUUGCUGAGACGACAUGGGUGGAGAGGGGCGACUCCAUUGGCGGUGAUGGAGUUGCUGAUGCGACCCAUGAACAGGUAACAUCAGUAUCGUUUUUGGAAGUAGGGUGUUUUAAUUCGCGAUUUGUUGAUUGCUUGCUUUUUUCUUGCAAUGGAGGGUCGCAGAUUCCCCUUUCUGGAGGAAUUGCAUGAGAGCGCAACCCCGAUGGAACCGGCAGCGUUCACGGUGGUUCGUUUGGUACCGGCUGCCGAGUAAUCGACGGGACUAGCCAUGAGCGCGGACAAGCAGGUUGUGAGGAAGACAUGGCAAAAGGUGUGAGAUGAAAGGCGUCGCCGCAGGUGUCCGAGAUGUCCACCGGGAAGAUGAAGUUCCUACAGUCCUACAGGCACCUGGUUGGGCUAAGAGGUGUCUUUCCCUAAAUCAAUCAAAUCGGUAUGCAUUGAAUUUUUGUUGUUGAGCGAUUAGGAGUGAUGCUGUCAUAUGUGUAUUGACGUCCCCUUGGGGUUCAGAACAUUCAGACAAGUAGUUGAUGCUGUUCUUAAGUAGUGUACGGUUAUGAAUGGAUGAUGAUCUAUCCAUCUUGGAGCAUGUUGUUACUAAUUCAAGGUUGUUGUACAAUUGGUUAUGAGUUACGAUUUAUGGGGAGUGCUUUGUAGUUAGUUCAUGUAUGAGUCUUGUUGGAUGCUUGCUUCUGAAUUUAGCUGUGCAAUGGAAUCGAGAUCAUGAUGCUCAAUGUAUGGAUUAUGGAUGUUCAAUUCAGUUUAUAAUGCUAGUUGUUUUUCAU